This 404-nucleotide ribosomal RNA is filed under the name uncultured bacterium. RNAcentral's name for it is "bacterial SSU rRNA". It matches the Rfam family "Bacterial small subunit ribosomal RNA", at positions 30 to 438 of the family's 1533-position model. The record is from RNAcentral.
AUUGAACGCUGGCGGCAUGCUUUACACAUGCAAGUCGAACGGGGUGAGGAGCUUGCUCCUCAUCUAGUGGCGAACGGGUGAGUAAUACAUCGGAACGUACCGUGUAGUGGGGGGAUAACGUAGCGAAAGUUACGCUAAUACCGCAUACGAUCCACGGAUGAAAGCAGGGGACCUUCGGGCCUUGUGCUAUACGAGCGGCCGAUGUCUGAUUAGCUAGUUGGUGGGGUAAAGGCCCACCAAGGCAACGAUCAGUAGCGGGUCUGAGAGGAUGAUCCGCCACACUGGGACUGAGACACGGCCCAGACUCCUACGGGAGGCAGCAGUGGGGAAUUUUGGACAAUGGGCGCAAGCCUGAUCCAGCCAUGCCGCGUGUCUGAAGAAGGCCUCGGUUGUAAGGACGUUUG